AGAGUUUGAUCCUGGCUCAGGAUGAACGCUGGCGGCGUGCCUAAUACAUGCAAGUCGAGCGGCAGCGAAGGGUGCUUGCACCCUGNUCGGCGAGCGGCGGACGGCUGAGUAACGCGUAGGAACGUACCCCAAAGUGAGGCAUAAGCACCAGAAAUGGUGUCUAAUACCGCAUGUGCUCUACGGAGUAAAGCCUUCGGGCGCUUUGGGAACGGCCUGCGUAAGAUUAGCUAGUUGGUGAGGUAAUGGCUCACCAAGGCGACGAUCUUUAGCUGGUCUGAGAGGAUGAUCAGCCAGACUGGGACUGAGACACGGCCCANACUCCUACGGGAGGCAGCAGUAGGGAAUUUUCCACAAUGGGGGCAACCCUGAUGGAGCAACGCCGCGUGCAGGAUGAAGGCCUUCGGGUUGUAAACUGCUUUUAUAUGUGACGAAUAUGACGGUAGCAUAUGAAUAAGGAUCGGCUAACUCCGUGCCAGCAGCCGCGGUCAUACGGAGGAUCCAAGCGUUAUCCGGAAUUACUGGGCGUAAAGAGUUGCGUANGUGGCGUAGUAAGUAGAUAGUGAAAGCGUUCGGCUCAACCGAAUAUCCAUUAUCUAAACUGCUAAGCUAGAGAAUGAGAGAGGUCACUGGAAUUCCCUGUGNUAGGAGUGAAAUCCGUAGAUAUANGGAGGAACACCGAUGGC
This 683-nucleotide ribosomal RNA is filed under the name uncultured bacterium. RNAcentral's name for it is "bacterial SSU rRNA". It matches the Rfam family "Bacterial small subunit ribosomal RNA", at positions 8 to 716 of the family's 1533-position model. The record is from RNAcentral.